RNAcentral lists this long non-coding RNA (1834 nucleotides) under Gallus gallus (chicken). Its description in RNAcentral is "long non-coding RNA NONGGAT005666". The record is from RNAcentral. Lineage: Eukaryota; Metazoa; Chordata; Aves; Galliformes; Phasianidae.
GAGCCCUCUACCAUCACAUCUGCCUUCCUGAGCUGCAAGACAGUAACUUUCUGCAACUCUACAACACACUGCCUGACCUCAUCAACUGCAGAAGGAUAAAAUGGAAGUAAACUGAAAAUAUACUUGGAAACAUUUUUGCAUUUCUCAGAGACUGGAUUUAAACUGAAACCAGACUGAAAUACGUGGAUGCCCAUGGAAUGUUGAGCUGAAGCUGGUCUCCCAGCCUGCAGUGCAACACCUGCUGUUUAAAACCCAAUCUCCGUACCACAUGACUUUAAAAACACAAUCAUGUUCAGAGAUGCGAUACAAAUAAAACUACAGUUUUUGCACAUCGUCUCUUGAAUAUCUCACUGCCAAAUAAAAAUCCAAAUCAAGUCAAAUAAAUAGAUGCAUAUUUUGUUAAGGUAACUUCCACAAUUUUCUCUGUACCUGCCUGUAGUCAGAUUCCGGCAUUCAGAAAGUGCUGGAAAUCAUCUUCGCUUCUUGGGGACUAACACUUUUUUAUAGCUGGCUCGCUACAGAGUUUUGAACUCAGUUUUCUCAACCUUCGUAUGCCUUCCUUUGCAAUUGUUAGUAAACUGGUAGCAGCAUUUCACAAAAGGAGAAUUUAAAGGGAAGAGCUGUACGUAGCCAGCUCCCUCUCACCCUCUGCUCGUUGGGCCUAUUUGUCCAGGACAGGAGGCUUUCUCCAUCUUUAAGUGGCAUAGUGUCUGCCAUUCUUGCUAACUGCAAAUGUAAAAGCAUUUUAGCAAACCUGUACUCAGUCUAGGCAGACGUAAGGCAGGAUGUUCAAUCUACCAUCAUCCCCGUGUGGAUCUAAAGAUAUGCACUGUGUCCAAUCAUACCAGUUACCCUGUGUAUCAUAACAACCGUUCACGCCUGGCCAGUUAUGUUCACAUAUUCUGUUGAGAUCAUCACUCGUGACCUCCCUCGUGACCCCAGGCAAGUCUGUAGGUUUGCUGUUAGGAGCUAGAACGUGAGUCUUUCUAGCCUCUUUUCUAGUGCUUUCCUCCUGCUUUAAAUAUUCAGACAUGAAGUAGUGAGCUCCUGGAGUCUGUACUCCUGAUGAAGACAGCAAGCUACUCUGUCUGUUUAAAUAGGACUGAAUUAUUUCGUUUCUGGACAAUUCUUUCCAGUUCGUUUGUUCAAAGGGGCUUUGCAGGUUGGGUUUUUGCUCCUGCUUUUCCGUUUCUGUCCUGUGCUGUUCAGUAAGUGCAGGGAUUUCUACCUGCAAAGGAUCUUUCGGUGUUAAAGGUUUUAUCUGUCCUGUCAUGGGAUCAAAAGUGAGCUUCCUCUCUUUUAAUCUCACAGGUUUCACACCCCCUUCUGUCACGUGCCCAUCCAAGUUGACUGUAUAGUCUCUAGGUCGGUACCUUUUCUUCUUUUUGCUAUCUGAACCUGAAGCAGCAUCAUCACUGUCCAUUUUUGAAGCGUCCUGUGAAAAGCCAAUGUGCGACAUGAGAGAUUCCCCCGGGUGGGAGCUGGUUUUGCAACUGGGAGAUGUGUGCUGUGGAAGCGUCCCUGCUGUGUGCCUGUGCUGGCUGUCAGAAGGUACCUGCUGCUCCUGCCAGUGCUGAGACACCUCAGAUACUGAUUGCUGAGAGAACUCCAGUCUUUUCGCUGGCAUUGGAGGUGUUGAUGGUUGCAUCAAGGAUGGUGGUGGUGACGGCACCUGUGCAGUAUCUAAGAACUGAGACCUUUGAGAUGGACUAGGCAUUGAAUCCUUUGGUGAGUAUGUGGUAUGCUGCCGAGCAAAAGUAUCGUGCCUAACAUUUCUAGGACUAAAGGAGGAACAGCGCGGGCUCUUGGGUUGGUGCGACCCGGUGGUUUCUUC